UGUUUUAACAAUUACCUAAUGGAGCUGCAAGAAAACUAUGAGAGGGAGUUGGUUAUCAUCGAUAAGAAAGAGAAAGAAAAGAAAAAAGCCAAGCACAUGGUCGUCUCCUCCUCGACGUUGUUUGACUACUUGUUUAACGGCAAGGCCAAGGGAAACCCCCACAAAGAAAUUGCCUUCCUUUCAAGGUUUGUUGUUCAAACAGAAGCCUCAGAAAAUGUCCAGUGUGAGCAAUGAAGGAAAAGAGAGAGGUAGAAGGGAAACAAAAGGGUUUCCAGUCCCCUUUCUCACUGGAAAACUCUGUGGAUAACUAUUCCUUGGGCCUAAAAAGCCCCUACAUAAUGAAGUCUGCCUCCAGUAAGCCCAGCAGCAGUAAGUCCAAAGGCAAGCAGGAUAUGCUCUUCCGACUCUCACCCUCCUCCAUUGAAUGAACACACCCAAGAACAGGAGGCCUCGGAGGGGACGCCCAUGUCUGCUGUCAGAUGUGAUAGAAAACAGAAUUAGCAAUGGGACAUAUGGAGUCUCUCCUGUGGACUGCGAAUAUUAAAGUUCACACUUGUCAUGAACCAUUCAGGGCUUAGACACACCAUACACCGAAUCCAUCAGACAUUUACUAAUUUGUUCUUUCAUUCACUUGAUAAUAACAACACAAUCCAACACAUCCUUGUGAAAUGUAGCAAGACCUUGUCUCGAAAACCAGCCAACAGCAAGGAUACCAAGGGAGCUGAGCUGCUAAGUCCCAGCUGUCUUUAGUCCCAGCACUCUCCAGGCCCGGGCACACAGGUAGAUCUGAGUUCGAGGCUGGUCGUUCCUACAUGUUUGUUAAAACAUGUGACACACACUUAUUUGAGGCUUACCCAUCUAUUAAUCUAUAUUGUUAGAUAUUCACAACGUUUAUUUAUGUUUUCAGUUUAAAUUUUUUAUUUGCCUUGCCUAUGCUAGCAAACCACUCCUUGCUGUUUGAGGGUCUUGCUGAGUUUUCUGGGACACCCGUGUGAGUCUCCUACCUUAGUCACUGGGCCCAGCUGCCUCUACCUGGUUUGGGGGUGAUCAUAAAGGAAGUUUACAGUAAAGCAACAGAAAUGAGUUUGAGCCUACAUAUUUGCAAUCCUUUAGUCCUGCACCUCUUUGUAUUAACUGUCUGAAGGGUGUCACCCCCUCCUGGGCCUACAGGCUCUCUCAGAGCUGUAAAACAGCUCACUUCUUUCCUGGGGAGUAGGCACAACCAAACAUUUCCAGGAAUUUUAGAUUCCUUUCAAGGUCCCUGAAACUCUGCCUGCCUCAUAAGCCAACUACACUUCUGGAAAUCUACCCUAUGAAAACCUGAGGAAAAAAGGCGUGUAGAAGAUGCUUCAUUUGUCGUCUCUGAGAAGAGGGGAAACUCGUUAAUAACAGACAUCCUAUGCAAUACUGUGUGGCCAUUUAAAGCUCUGUGGGAGGCAUGGGAAGUGCAGAGGUAAGAGUUGGGGUGUGGCCGAGCAGCGAGUACUGGUUGAGUAUGUCUUCUUGGUUUUGUUAACGUUUUCAAUAAAAACUAACUUUCUAUUUUGGUUUUGGUUUUUAAAACUUG
This 1567-nucleotide long non-coding RNA is filed under the name Rattus norvegicus (Norway rat). RNAcentral describes it as "long non-coding RNA NONRATT027123". Lineage: Eukaryota; Metazoa; Chordata; Mammalia; Rodentia; Muridae. The record is from RNAcentral.